AAGAAGACAACGUAUACAAUAACAGAGUGUAUAGAGAUAAAUGUCACAAUAACAUCAGAGUAUUUAUUACAUAGCGAAAGUCUUAUUACAAAAUAAAAGAUAAAUAUGAAACGAACUAAGGAUCAUCCUUGGCGCCAAUAAGUCAACUAGGAAACGCCACCUAGAUCAGAUCGAACUCCUCAUUGUGCGGCUCCUCCUGAACCACCUGUUCUUCUCCUGUGGGGGUGAGACAACAAGGGUGAUCUCACACAUGAUCAUAGCUCAACAAAUUGUGGGGAAACCAGAGGGCAUGAACUCACCGAAGGUGGGAGUCCAUGUGAUGUGUAAGGCUAAUCAACAACAGGGGUUAAAGCUGAGCAUUGCUUUUAAUUAGUUAGUCAAAAUUUUAUUAAUAGU
RNAcentral lists this long non-coding RNA (396 nucleotides) under Zea mays. RNAcentral describes it as "long non-coding RNA (ZMAY_LNC003752)". The record is from RNAcentral. Lineage: Eukaryota; Viridiplantae; Streptophyta; Magnoliopsida; Poales; Poaceae.